This 325-nucleotide ribosomal RNA is filed under the name uncultured eukaryote. Its description in RNAcentral is "partial 18S ribosomal RNA". It matches the Rfam family "Eukaryotic small subunit ribosomal RNA", at positions 1470 to 1796 of the family's 1831-position model. The record is from RNAcentral.
CCCUUAGAUGUUCUGGGCCGCACGCGCGCUACACUGAUGCAUUCAACGAGCCUAUCCUUGACCGACAGGUCCGGGUAAUCUUUGAAUCUGCAUCGUGACGGGGAUAGAUUAUUGCAAUUAUUAAUCUUCAACGAGGAAUGCCUAGUAGGCGCAAGUCAUCAGCUUGCGUCGAUUACGUCCCUGCCCUUUGUACACACCGCCCGUCGCUCCUACCGAUUGAAUGGCUUAGUGAGCCUUUGGGAUUGGCAGCCAACACCGGCAACGGUAGCUGGCCGCCGAAAACUUAUGCAAACUUGGUCAUUUAGAGGAAGUAAAAGUCGUAACA